Molecule: unclassified non-coding RNA, 164 nt
Filed under: uncultured Paecilomyces
Lineage: Eukaryota; Fungi; Ascomycota; Eurotiomycetes; Eurotiales; Thermoascaceae
Description: sequence contains ITS2
Source: RNAcentral
CAACCCUCAAGCUCUGCUUGGUGUUGGGGACCGGCCGCAGCCUCAGUGCUCUGCCGCCCCCUAAAUACAGUGGCGGUCCCGCCGCAGCCUCCUUUGCGUAGUAGUAAACCACCUCGCACACGGAACGCAGCGCGACCACGCCGUUAAACCCCCAACUUUCUGAA